Molecule: ribosomal RNA, 305 nt
Filed under: uncultured bacterium
Lineage: Bacteria
Description: bacterial SSU rRNA
Rfam family: Bacterial small subunit ribosomal RNA
Source: RNAcentral
GUACCUACGGGGCGCAGCAGUGGGGAAUAUUGGGCAAUGGGCGCAAGCCUGACCCAGCAACGACGCGUGAAGGAAGAAGGCUUUCGGGUUGUAAACUUCUUUUCUGAGGGACGAAGAAAGUGACGGUACCUCAGGAAUAAGCCACGGCUAACUACGUGCCAGCAGCCGCGGUAAUACGUAGGUGGCAAGCGUUAUCCGGAUUUAUUGGGUGUAAAGGGCGUGUAGGCGGGGAUGCAGGUCAGAUGUGAAAACUAUGGGCUCAACCCAUAGCCUGCAUUUGAAACUGUAUUUCUUGAGUGCUGGAG